UGGUGGAGUGAUUUGUCUGGUUAAUUCCGUUAACGAACGAGACCUCGACCUGCUAAAUAGUUGAGCGCACGCCUUCAAGCGUGCGAACUCCAACUUCUUAGAGGGACUAUUGUCGAUUAGACAAUGGAAGUUCGAGGCAAUAACA
Molecule: ribosomal RNA, 145 nt
Filed under: uncultured eukaryote
Lineage: Eukaryota
Description: partial 18S ribosomal RNA
Rfam family: Eukaryotic small subunit ribosomal RNA
Source: RNAcentral